AACCAAAGUAUUGUUAUGGGAGAGAGAUGUUCUAGAAACUUCUUUCAGGUGUCUUUUAUCCUUUUCAGGCAUGAGCACCCUUCAGACCAUGUCCAGGAAGUUUGGUCUGUCUGCUGACAGGUAGACAUUCACUCAAGUUUAAAGGGCAUUGAUGAUUCUCAGUAUAUAUUGGAGAGUAUCAGAGAGAGAGAAAAUAGUUAAG
This 202-nucleotide long non-coding RNA is filed under the name Bos taurus (domestic cattle). RNAcentral describes it as "long non-coding RNA NONBTAT018162". The record is from RNAcentral. Lineage: Eukaryota; Metazoa; Chordata; Mammalia; Artiodactyla; Bovidae.